AAUGAACGCUGGCGGCAGGCCUAACACAUGCAAGUCGAACGGAUCCUUCGGGAUUAGUGGCGGACGGGUGAGUAACGCGUGGGAACAUACCCUUUGGUACGGAAUAGCCUCGGGAAACUGGGAGUAAUACCGUAUGUGGUCGAGAGACGAAAGAUUUAUCGCCAAAGGAUUGGCCCGCGUUGGAUUAGGUAGUUGGUGGGGUAAUGGCCUACCAAGCCGACGAUCCAUAGCUGGUUUGAGAGGAUGAUCAGCCACACUGGGACUGAGACACGGCCCAGGCGCCCACGGGAGGCAGCAGUGGGGAAUAUUAGAAAAUGGGGGAAACCCUGAUCUAGCCAUGCCGCGUGAUCGAUGAAGGCCUUAGGGUUGUAAAGAUCUUUCAGGUGGGAAGAUAAUGACUGUACCACCAGAAGAAGCCCCGGCUAACUCCGUGCCAGCAGCCGCCGUAA
RNAcentral lists this ribosomal RNA (449 nucleotides) under uncultured bacterium. RNAcentral describes it as "partial 16S ribosomal RNA". It matches the Rfam family "Bacterial small subunit ribosomal RNA", at positions 29 to 523 of the family's 1533-position model. The record is from RNAcentral.